GACGAACGCUGGCGGCGUGCUUAACACAUGCAAGUCGAACGGAAAGGCCCCUUUGGGGGUACUCGAGUGGCGAACGGGUGAGUAACACGUGAGUAACCUGCCCUUGACUUCGGGAUAACUUCAGGAAACUGGGGCUAAUACCGGAUAGGAAUCCUUGCUGCAUGGUGGGGGUUGGAAAGCUUCGGCGGUUUUGGAUGGACUCGCGGCUUAUCAGCUUGUUGGUGGGGUAGUGGCUUACCAAGGCUUUGACGGGUAGCCGGCCUGAGAGGGCGACCGGCCACAUUGGGACUGAGAUACGGCCCAGACUCCUACGGGAGGCAGCAGUGGGGAAUAUUGCACAAUGGGCGGAAGCCUGAUGCAGCAACGCCGCGUGCGGGAUGACGGCCUUCGGGUUGUAAACCGCGUUCAGCAGGGGCGAAGCUUGUGGUGACGGUACCUGCAGAAGAAGCACCGGCUAACUACGUG
This 465-nucleotide ribosomal RNA is filed under the name uncultured bacterium. RNAcentral describes it as "partial 16S ribosomal RNA". It matches the Rfam family "Bacterial small subunit ribosomal RNA", at positions 28 to 507 of the family's 1533-position model. The record is from RNAcentral.